GACGAACGCUGGCGGCGUGCCUAAUACAUGCAAGUUGAGCGCUGAAGGUUGGUACUUGUACCGACUGGAUGAGCAGCGAACGGGUGAGUAACGCGUGGGGAAUCUGCCUUUGAGCGGGGGACAACAUUUGGAAACGAAUGCUAAUACCGCAUAAAAACUUUAAACACAAGUUUUAAGUUUGAAAGAUGCAAUUGCAUCACUCAAAGAUGAUCCCGCGUUGUAUUAGCUAAUUGGUGAGGUAAAGGCUCACCAAGGCGAUGAUACAUAGCCGACCUGAGAGGGUGAUCGGCCACAUUGGGACUGAGACACGGCCCAAACUCCUACGGGAGGCAGCAGUAGGGAAUCUUCGGCAAUGGACGAAAGUCUGACCGAGCAACGCCGCGUAAGUGAAGAAGGGUUUCGGAUCGUAAAACUCUGUUGGUAGAGAAGAACGUUGGUGAGAGUGGAAAGCUCAUCAAGUGACGGUAACUACCCAGAAAGGGACGGCUAACUACGUG
This 497-nucleotide ribosomal RNA is filed under the name uncultured bacterium. RNAcentral's name for it is "partial 16S ribosomal RNA". It matches the Rfam family "Bacterial small subunit ribosomal RNA", at positions 28 to 507 of the family's 1533-position model. The record is from RNAcentral.